CCUAUCUUCCGUGGGCGUAGGAAAUUUGAAGAGGAUCUGUCCCUAGUACGAGAGGACCGGGAUGGACGAACCUCUGGUGCACCAGUUGUCGCGCCAGCGGCACCGCUGGGUAGCUACGUUCGGAAAGGAUAACCGCUGAAAGCAUCUAAGCGGGAAGCCCCGCCCGAGAUGAGAUUUCCCUGAAGGUCUCUGGAAGACGACCAGUUUGAUAGGCGGGAUGUGUAAGCGCUGUAAAGUGUUGAGCUAACCCGUACUAAUCGACCGUUCGGCUUGACCAU
RNAcentral lists this ribosomal RNA (278 nucleotides) under Acidobacteriota bacterium. RNAcentral's name for it is "Acidobacteria bacterium partial 23S ribosomal RNA". It matches the Rfam family "Bacterial large subunit ribosomal RNA", at positions 2637 to 2925 of the family's 2925-position model. Lineage: Bacteria; Pseudomonadati; Acidobacteriota. The record is from RNAcentral.